UACGUAGGGGGCAAGCGUUGUCCGGAUUUACUGGGCGUAAAGAGCGUGUAGGCGGCCAGACAGGUCUGCUGUGAAAACUCGAGGCUCAACCUCGAGACGCCGGUGGAAACCGUUUGGCUAGAGUCCGGAAGAGGAGAGUGGAAUUCCUGGUGUAGCGGUGAAAUGCGCAGAUAUCAGGAAGAACACCGGUGGCGAAGGCGGCUCUCUAGUACGGUACUGACGCUGAGACGCGAAAGCGUGGGGAGCGAACAGG
This 253-nucleotide ribosomal RNA is filed under the name uncultured bacterium. Its description in RNAcentral is "partial 16S ribosomal RNA". It matches the Rfam family "Bacterial small subunit ribosomal RNA", at positions 524 to 776 of the family's 1533-position model. The record is from RNAcentral.